CCUACGGGUGGCAGCAGUGAGGAAUAUUGGUCAAUGGGCGAGAGCCUGAACCAGCCAAGUCGCGUGAGGGAGUACUGCCCUAUGGGUUGUAAACCUCUUUUGUCGGGGAGCAAAAGCCGGACCUGUCCGGCUGUGAGAGUACCCGAAGAAAAAACAUCGGCUAACUCCGUUCCAGCAGCCGCGGUAAUACGGAGGAUGCGAGCGUUAUCCGGAUUUAUUGGGUUUAAAGGGUGCGCAGGCGGAUUUUUAAGUCAGCGGUAAAAUCGUGGGGCUCAACCCCAUCCAGCCGUUGAAACUGGGGAUCUAGAGUGGGCGAGAGGUAUGCGGAAUGCGUGGUGUAGCGGUGAAAUGCAUAGAUAUCACGAAGAACCCCGAUUGCGAAGGCAGCAUACCGGUGCACAACUGACGCUCAGGCACGAAAGCGUGGGUAUCGAACAGGAUUAGAUACCCCAGUAGUC
This 458-nucleotide ribosomal RNA is filed under the name uncultured bacterium. Its description in RNAcentral is "partial 16S ribosomal RNA". It matches the Rfam family "Bacterial small subunit ribosomal RNA", at positions 338 to 795 of the family's 1533-position model. The record is from RNAcentral.